CAAAGGGGCAAAGGCACUGCCUGGAGAAGCGGAGGGGAGGCAGGGGAAGGGCGGGCUGCAAUUUCUUUUUAUCGUUUUAUUAUCCCCGGAUUACACGGAAGGAAAACAACCGCAAUCAAAGGGCUAUAAUACACGUGAGGAGGUAUUUCUGUCCCUCGACAACCCCCGGAGUUUCGGCUAUGGACUUCCCCUGCCAGCCUGGGAUGGAGAGACAGAGCUCUCGGCUCCAGGUGGAGCAGCGGGCACCGAUCCCCGGGGUUCGGGAGCCCAACACAGACCGUCCCAUGUCACCGGGCGGAGAGUGAGAAGCAGCGGCCUCGGCUCCCCUCUUCCCCACGGGGCUGAUUUUAUUUUCCACGCAGCCCCAUCCCUCUGCCCCCCUUCUCCCUUUGAUAAUCCGCAACUUUUGCUCUUCUUCCCAUCAGCUUAUUAAACGCGCGGCGGGGGUGAGCGGAAAGGCAUGUCGGCUCAGCCCGCGGAAUCUAUCCGGGAUUUAUUUCCAGUGGGUGGAAAAGAAACGAAAUCCCGGCGUUACCUUCCUGCCCUCCACCAACAACCAGUUUCUGCCAGUGCCCCGUGCCCUGGUCCAACACCACCACGGCCGCCAGUCGGGCGGUCCCCGCCGCCCCUUCACCGCCCAGCAGCAGCCGGGACCGCGCCGCCUCGUCGGGCACCACGAAGUGGAGCGGCACAGCCCCACCGCGGGCCCGCCGCAUCACCACCGAGUUGAGGUUGACGUUGAGCGAGCCGCGGAGGCAGGAGGCCGAGUAGGACAGGAGGCAGGAAGUGCCAUCGCUGCCUCAGAUUGCCUGCAGCUGAAACAGAGAAGCAUGAAAGAGGCUGUGCGGGGAGGAAAAGGCUCAGGCUGAUUAAAAGAACAGCAACUACUGGUUUCGAA
Long non-coding RNA from Strigops habroptila (Kakapo), 898 nucleotides. RefSeq lists it as uncharacterized. Lineage: Eukaryota; Metazoa; Chordata; Aves; Psittaciformes; Psittacidae. The transcript has 3 exons. The record is from RefSeq and is a predicted model, not a curated record.